UACAGAGGUCCCAAGCGUUGUUCGGAUUCAUUGGGCGUAAAGGGUGCGUAGGUGGCGUCGUAAGUCGGGUGUGAAAUCUCGGGGCUUAACUCCGAAACUGCAUUCGAUACUGCGGGUCUCGAGUCCGGGAGAGGUGAGUGGAAUUCCUAGUGUAGAGGUGAAAUUCGUAGAUAUUAGGAAGAACACCAGUGGCGAAGGCGGCUCACUGGCCCGGUACUGACGCUGAGGCGCGAAAGCGUGGGGAGCAAACAGG
This 253-nucleotide ribosomal RNA is filed under the name uncultured bacterium. Its description in RNAcentral is "partial 16S ribosomal RNA". It matches the Rfam family "Bacterial small subunit ribosomal RNA", at positions 524 to 776 of the family's 1533-position model. The record is from RNAcentral.